This 388-nucleotide long non-coding RNA is filed under the name Vigna radiata. Its description in RNAcentral is "long non-coding RNA (VRAD_LNC003298)". The record is from RNAcentral. Lineage: Eukaryota; Viridiplantae; Streptophyta; Magnoliopsida; Fabales; Fabaceae.
UUGUUAUAGAACUUGUUGUCUCUUCUGGCUGCAAAAUUGCAUUUGUUCAUCCUCGUGUAACAAGGGUGGCUGUCUAGCCAAAGUUAAUUCCCUGAGCCAAUGGCAGUUCACUUCCAUAGUUGAUGGUACUGCCAAGGACAUGCACAGAAGAAGAUGAAGAAGAUGAAGAAGAAGAUAUAUUCACCAUUAACAGAGCUUGUAACCAAGGAAUGCAAUAUCAUAAAUUCAACUAGAACUUACCAUGUAGAACGACGCAUGUAUUGCUUCCAUGAGUCACUUCCUGCUUCACGACCACCACCAGUUGCCUUUUCCCCACCAAAGGCACCACCAAUCUCAGCUCCAUUUGUAGGUAUAUUUGCAUUCACUAUACCACAAUCACUACCUCGUG